Molecule: non-coding RNA, 3136 nt
Organism: Camellia sinensis
Lineage: Eukaryota; Viridiplantae; Streptophyta; Magnoliopsida; Ericales; Theaceae
Source: RefSeq, a predicted model, not a curated record
ACUAAACUAGUCAGGUUCCAAACGUGGCUAAAAGCUUCGAAACGCAAUUGUGAAUCUGACGCUUCAUUGUCCAACAUCUGCUUAUCCAUGGCGGUGCGAUCGGGAGGCGCCAAAGUCCAUGUAAGACUGCAAAUAUCAGUUGGUUGAAGUCCGUACCCAAAGUCGUUCCCUAAACCGCAAGGCUAUUUGUUUGAGGGGCACAAUUGGCCAUGUUCAACCAUCUCUGAGACACCUCCCGAGGACAAUGCUGGCAGAGCAAUAUUAAUGGAUACCCUCCAGGAUUGGAAGACUGAAAGAUACAAGGAAAUUAUCAAAUCUGAAACUGUGGAGCCCAGACCUAGAGUUUUGAGAUUGAUGGAUGAGGCCAAGGCUGCUGUAAGAUAGACAUUUACCUUAUAAAUGCAAUCGUCACUUUGUCAUGGCUCUUGAGUUUUUCGUUGUAUUUGCAUAUGUUAUCCACAGUUAAUUAGGUGUCUUGUGUUCAAAAUGUAUUAGAUUCAUUAAUUCUGGCAUUGUUGGCUGAUAAAAAUCGGAAGUUCAUUUUCGUUGAACAGGCAUUUUUCCAGCGAUGGUGGAGGGACCAGAGCGAGGGAGUCUAGAGUAUAACCAAGCAGUUUGUUAGCACAGGCCAUAAAUGGUGGUUGCUGCAUGGAUGAUGAGGUGGCCUCACAUUAUAUUGACAUGAUAGAUCAGACUACACUUGGGCACUGGUUUAUCGAAGAGAAGUUCACUGUGACUCCAAGAGUUGGUUGGCGGAUUGAUCUCUUUGGUCAUUCUGCAGUGCAGGCUUACCUUUUGGGGGCAGAGGUUGGAUUUGACUCUUUUUUCUUCGGCCAAAUUGACUACCAAGACAGAGAUAAGCGAAAAAAUGAGAAGAGCCAUGAGGUUGUCUGGCAGGGCUCUAAGAGUUUUGGUUCAUCUGCACAGGUGAGUGACUCAUUGAUAUUUGUAGCACAAACUGCUCAGCCUAUAAAUGGCUCAAUUUUCGUUGCUCUCACCAUAUUGUUUGGCCUCCACCGCAAGUCGAAGCUUAUUAUUGCUUUGUGAGGUAACCCCACCCCCUUCUCUCUCUCUCUCUCUCUCUCAUUGAAUCUAUGAACUUCGAGAAGAGAAACUCUUUGCAAGCUUUAACGAAUAUGCAUAUACUGUAAUACAAAUUAUGAGGUACGUACUGAUGUGCAUACAUAUGUAUAUGUUGAAAAGUCGUAUAUACAUGUUUGAUCUGAUGAAUUGAGAAAUUUUAUAUUGUUUUUUCAUAUUUUCAAUCGCUUAUACACGUAAUUGAAAAUCUACUCGAAUUGGAGUUCACAUCAUUGCCAUUGGCAUCUACUACCAUUUUAUCUUGAGAUCAAACAACUCACAAACUCUUUCUAAGGUAGUUAAGACAACUUCAACCUGAAUCUAGAACACAUUUGCAAUAAAUCUAUUCGAGUUCGUAGUUUGAGAUUCUAGAGGUCCUUCGGUUCCAAAUUUGCGAUUACCGUAGCUAAUUCAGUGAAUUAUGACCAGGUCUUUGUGAAUUCUAUUAUCCAUUUGACCUGUGAUUCAUUAUAAACAGCGAGUUUUUGCAGUUUUUUAUUUUUGAAAUGUUUCUUUUUCUGAUUUCACUUAUUAUCGAGGAAAGAGGGGCAUAAACUUUGUCUUCAUAGCCCAAUGAACCUUAGUAGAUCUUGGCAACAUUUUCUAAGUCAAAUUAAUGUGGAAUAGAACAGAUUUUGUUAACUCAGUUAGAAUGUUAACUCAGAUUUUGCUCCUUGUGAUAUUUUCAAAUUUUCUUACUGGUUUUGGGAUGGAAUGAACUUUUGAUUGGAUCAACACUAUCAACUGUUAGUUAAUUUGGAGAAUUUUGAUUUCUGAUUUGUUUCUAUGUGCAUAGUUAAAAUAAAAUGUAAGAAUCAGAUGCUAUAUAGUUUAGAUCUUACUUCAGUAUAGAUUUUUACACUUCGAAUGCAUAAAUAUAGAUUUUUACACUCUGAAUGUUUGAAGGUGUCAUGCUUCUUUCUACACAGUUACUAUUUAAUGUUUUUAAUGUCUCCUCACUUAUUUUCCACGUCUAUUAUUUUGAAUUCCUCAGUCUAGGAUCAAUGUCAAGUCAUAGUUAAAAUGCAACAGACAGUUUUUAUUUCAAUGAUCAAAAUUUAAUUUUCAUGGAUUGCUUUGAUCCUUUUUCUAUAUGAUGUGUUUCUGAAAUGAUUAUCCUACGGAAUAUACUAUUAUAUAUUAAACAAACAUGAGUUUAAGCUAAAGAGAUUUUUAUCUUUUCAUUUCCCUAGUGGACUGAUAAAUGAGCUUGUUUAUGGAUCAAUAUGCACUGCAGUCUGUUUCAGCUUCACCUGCUCCUUUCUGUUCAAUUUUUGGUUUCAGGUAACUUUAAGUUCCUAUUGGAAUUUGAUGGUUGACCAUUAUGUUGGAAUCAUGAUUUAUAUGGAAAAGUUAUAUUUUAAAAAUCCCCUUUUUCUUAUUUAUGAGAGAUUGAGAUUUCAGAUGUGUUAUUGGUUGACCAAAAUAUUCAACCAAGCAAAAUGAGUUCAUAAAACAUUUGAAGAAAUUACAACUUUUUUCUCUAACAGCUUGCAUGGGGGCAUCCUUUUGGCAUUUUUUCAUAUUUUUUCCUACAUUGAUUUUCAAUUAUUGAACUGGUCUUGUCAAUGUUAAGUUUUAUAAACAUGCAACAACUGAGAUGGAUGCAUGCUAAAUUUAUGCAAUAAUUUUUGCUUUAUUUUAUUUGUCUAUCUAAAUUUUCAUAACAUCAACCAUGUAUGAUGAUAAAUGUGAUUUAGGGAAUUGGCCCACAAUACCUAAAAUAUUGUUCUUUUGCUAUACACGGUGUAAUCGGUCCUGUUUUAGCAUUUGUAUUUGUUUUACAGGUACUUUAACUCGCUGCAAAGUGAAUGCUUUUUUGCCUGUUUCCUAUCUCAUGUGAAUAUGGUCAUUUCAGCACCAAUUGGUAGUGGAAAAACAGUACUUUUUGAGCUUUGCAUUUUGAGGUUGCUCUCAAGGUUCAUCUUUGCAGAGGGAAGAUUUAUUCACUUGGAAGGGAACACUCAAAACAGUAGGCUUUCUACGAUUUUGUAUAUGGAAAAUUUUUUGAUGUUUAUUUGAAUACUGAAAAGUUCAGAAGAUUAUUGAUUUCGCA